RNAcentral lists this unclassified non-coding RNA (235 nucleotides) under Hevea brasiliensis (rubber tree). Lineage: Eukaryota; Viridiplantae; Streptophyta; Magnoliopsida; Malpighiales; Euphorbiaceae. The record is from RNAcentral.
UGAGCAGCACAUCAAGAACCUUCUGACCCCGGCUACACCACAUUUCUUCAAUACCUUGUACGAUCCCUACCGUGAGGGCGCUGACUUCGUCCGUGGAUAUCCGUUUAGUCUCCGGGAGGGUGUUCCGACCGCAGUGUCUCAUGGCCUGUGGCUCAACAUCCCGGAUUAUGAUGCACCCACCCAGCUCGUGAAGCCUCUGGAGAGAAAUAAGAGGUAUGUAGAUGCAGUCUUGACA